RNAcentral lists this ribosomal RNA (468 nucleotides) under uncultured bacterium. RNAcentral's name for it is "partial 16S ribosomal RNA". It matches the Rfam family "Bacterial small subunit ribosomal RNA", at positions 37 to 537 of the family's 1533-position model. The record is from RNAcentral.
AACGAACGCUGGCGGCAUGCCUAACACAUGCAAGUCGAACGAUGCUUUCGGGCAUAGUGGCGCACGGGUGCGUAACGCGUGGGAAUCUGCCCUUGGGUUCGGAAUAACAGUGAGAAAUUGCUGCUAAUACCGGAUGAUGUCUUCGGACCAAAGAUUUAUCGCCCAGGGAUGAGCCCGCGUAGGAUUAGCUAGUUGGUGGGGUAAUGGCCUACCAAGGCGACGAUCCUUAGCUGGUCUGAGAGGAUGAUCAGCCACACUGGGACUGAGACACGGCCCAGACGCCGCGGCGGGGCAGAAGUGUGGCAUAUCGAACAUGGCCACCAACCCUCACCGAGACACGCCGCGUGAGGGAUGAAGGCAUGAGGUUUGUAAAUCUCUUUUACCAGGGAUAAUAAAGACAGACCGGGGAGAAUAACCCCCCGCCACCUCCGUGCCAGCCCCCGCAGAACAUCGAGCGCACCCGCCCAA